AGUGAACGCUGGCGGUAGGCCUAACACAUGCAAGUCGAACGGCAGCACAGUAAGAGCUUGCUCUUACGGGUGGCGAGUGGCGGACGGGUGAGGAAUACAUCGGAAUCUACCUUUUCGUGGGUGAUAACGUAGGGACACUUACGCUAAUACCGCAUACGACCUACGGGUGAAAGCAGGGGAUCUUCGGACCUUGCGUGAUUGAAUGAGCCGAUGUCGGAUUGGCUAGUUGGCGGGGUAAAGGCCCACCAAGGCGACGAUCCGUAGCUGGUCUGAGAGGAUGAUCAGCAACACUGGAACUGAGACACGGUCCAGACGCCUACGGGAGGCAGCAGUGGGGAAUAUUGCACAAUGGGCGCAAGCCUGAUGGAGCAAUGCCGAGGGAGUGAAGAAGGUCUUCGGAUUGUAAAACUCUGUUAGUAGGGAAGAAGACAAGGAUGAGAAUAUGUGCACAUCUGGACGGUACAUAAACAGAAAGCAACGGCUAACUAAGUG
RNAcentral lists this ribosomal RNA (492 nucleotides) under uncultured bacterium. RNAcentral describes it as "partial 16S ribosomal RNA". It matches the Rfam family "Bacterial small subunit ribosomal RNA", at positions 29 to 507 of the family's 1533-position model. The record is from RNAcentral.